Molecule: transfer RNA, 74 nt
Filed under: Brucella pseudogrignonensis
Lineage: Bacteria; Pseudomonadati; Pseudomonadota; Alphaproteobacteria; Hyphomicrobiales; Brucellaceae
Description: Ochrobactrum pseudogrignonense tRNA-Trp
Rfam family: tRNA
About the family: Transfer RNA (tRNA) molecules are approximately 80 nucleotides in length. Their secondary structure includes four short double-helical elements and three loops (D, anti-codon, and T loops).
Source: RNAcentral
AGGGUAUAGCUCAGUUGGUAGAGCGACGGUCUCCAAAACCGUAGGUCGCGGGUUCGAACCCUGCUGCCCUGCCA